Sebastes umbrosus (honeycomb rockfish) is the source of this 338-nucleotide long non-coding RNA. RefSeq lists it as uncharacterized. The transcript has 3 exons. Lineage: Eukaryota; Metazoa; Chordata; Actinopteri; Perciformes; Sebastidae. The record is from RefSeq and is a predicted model, not a curated record.
ACACAAAUAUUUUUAUUAUUUUUACACACAGAGAUCUUUUUGUACUUUUUUUCCAAUUCAAAGUGAUCAAAAUAAUGUUUACAUUACACAUUCAGAUGAUGUAUGAGUACAUUUAAUAUUCAAAAUUGAUAUGUAUGAUACGUUUUCAAAAUAAAUGUUACAAGAAAAUAAUAAUAAUAGUGCUACUCUGUUUAAAGCAACUUUCUACCGUAAACUAUUUUCAAACAUCAUCUGAGAUUCAGAAUAAACAUCAACGCAACACGUUACUGAUGCUGCUUUGAUUACAGAACAUUCUUAUUAGCUGAGCAACAAUAACAAGAGAAAAUGACAAGGUUGGU